Molecule: small nuclear RNA, 100 nt
Filed under: Canis lupus familiaris (dog)
Lineage: Eukaryota; Metazoa; Chordata; Mammalia; Carnivora; Canidae
Source: RNAcentral
GUGGCUUUGGCAGCACAUACACUAAAAUUGGGACAAUACAGAGAUUAGCAUGUCCCCAUGCAAUGAUGACACACACAUUUGUGAAGCAUUCCAUAUUAAA